This 305-nucleotide ribosomal RNA is filed under the name uncultured bacterium. Its description in RNAcentral is "bacterial SSU rRNA". It matches the Rfam family "Bacterial small subunit ribosomal RNA", at positions 337 to 659 of the family's 1533-position model. The record is from RNAcentral.
GCCUACGGGACGCAGCAGUGGGGAAUAUUGCACAAUGGGGGAAACCCUGAUGCAGCGACGCCGCGUGAGCGAUGAAGUAUUUCGGUAUGUAAAGCUCUAUCAGCAGGGAAGAAAAUGACGGUACCUGACUAAGAAGCCCCGGCUAACUACGUGCCAGCAGCCGCGGUAAUACGUAGGGGGCAAGCGUUAUCCGGAUUUGCUGGGUGUAAAGGGAGCGUAGACGGUUUUUCAAGUCUGAAGUGAAAGCCCGCGGCUCAACUGCGGAACGGCUUUGGAAACUGAGGGACUAGAGUGCUGGAGGGGCG